RNAcentral lists this ribosomal RNA (404 nucleotides) under Bacillota bacterium. Its description in RNAcentral is "Firmicutes bacterium partial 16S ribosomal RNA". It matches the Rfam family "Bacterial small subunit ribosomal RNA", at positions 355 to 776 of the family's 1533-position model. The record is from RNAcentral. Lineage: Bacteria; Bacillati; Bacillota.
UGGGGAAUAUUGGACAAUGGGCGCAAGCCUGAUCCAGCCAUGCCGCGUGAGUGAUGAAGGCCUUAGGGUUGUAAAGCUCUUUUGUCCGGGAAGAUAAUGACUGUACCGGAAGAAUAAGCCUCGGCUAACUUCGUGCCAGCAGCCGCGGUAAUACGAAGGGGGCUAGCGUUGCUCGGAAUCACUGGGCGUAAAGGGCGCGUAGGCGGACUCUUAAGUCGGGGGUGAAAGCCCAGGGCUCAACCCUGGAAUUGCCUUCGAUACUGAGAGUCUUGAGUUCGGAAGAGGUUGGUGGAAUUGCGAGUGUAGAGGUGAAAUUCGUAGAUAUUCGCAAGAACACCGGUGGCGAAGGCGGCCAGCUGGUCCGAUACUGACGCUGAGGCGCGAAAGCGUGGGGAGCAAACAGG